GCUUGAAUGGAAACAUACUUACAUGUGAGUGAGGCCAAGCAAUAACAGAACCAAUAGCACCCCUUACUGUUUUUCUCUUUAUUUCUCGAGUUCAUCGAAUACAACACGGCUGUAGGUUUAUCCUGUUUUUCAAGAAAUUAAACAUUUGUUAUUGAUGAACCUGAGAAGAUUCCAUUUUAUGCUGAAAAGAACAAUUUCACAAAGAACUAGACCAACUAUCUAUUAUACAAUCAUUGUCAUUUGGAUAUUAACCUAUAUGUACCUGUUUAGUGACUUGGUGAUGGGCACAUAGCUUGGUUGCAUUGUUAUUUCUAGCAUGAGCAUUCUGCAAUUAGAUAGGAAUACGCGUGAAUGGAGAUACAUGAUCAGCUAUAAUCAAUAAUGACAAUUUAGAAGAUUUCUGAUACAUGCACUACGGAGCCUUAUGCUACAUGUACUUUCGGUCUACACACUUUGCUAUCAAAUUGGAUUAAAGUCUUACUACAAAAUUAUGUAUUGUGAAAACUAAACAUGAAUGCACAAUGCAAACAAAUGAAGUAAACAUCAUGUAAAUUUAUACAUUCAAUACAUAAUUCACCUAAUAUUUAAGGUCCAGGUGUUCCUCAACAUCUAUGCAAGGUUUCCAUCAAAAAAGAACACCCAUGCGAGGUUGAUAUUUUAUUACUACUCAUGUAUCAAUUCAAAAGUAAGUAAUUAUUUUCUUUCAAUACGAGAUCUCUUGGAGCAGCAAUGAUAUGUGUAUGACUAACUUGUGGUUCCAACAGGCCAAAUUGUGUUAUUGUUGUAUGCAAUACAAUUUCUAAUUGCUUGCACUUCAACACGGAUGAUAUUCUGAUAUUCUAAAUCGCCUCCAGAAGACAUAAAAAUGCCUUCGAAUGCUUUUCUGUAAAAUGCUAGAAAAGGUCGAAAAGGGAAAGGUUAAUCAAGGCGCUAUUGAAAUACGCCGGGGAAUAUAUGGCGCGGUUUAAAAUCGCCUUAAAAGCUCCGUUGUUCUAGGGCGUUUCCUUAGAAUGCCGUAUUAACUUGUUAGUGCAAAAUCCUAUUUCUUUGCCAGUCUACGGCAGGCCUCCUGGUUGUAUCUCAAAAUCUGAAACUGUACCCCAUCAAUUCCGCCUUGUGUGGUUGCUCAAACUCUGAAAAUGUACCCCAUCCAUUCCAUUUUGUUAACCCUAUAUAUGGCCAACUCUUAGUCGCUACGCCGUAUGCAACUGACAUAGUUCAUGAGUAUAUGUCAUUUCUGAAUCUCUACCCAUGAUUCCUCCUUUUAAAUAUGUCCAACUCUUAACUCCAUAAGCAGUAUGGGACUAAAUUUAAGCACGAAUGUUGCGCGAGCAAAGAAAGCAAUAUAUCAGCAGAUGCGUGAUUCGAACAUAGCACAUCUUGUGUAUAUCGGUAGACCAACGACCAGUAACACCAAGGUAGCUAUUUGUAUUCCAAUGGGAAGAGACGUCUUUUAACAUAUAUACACAGACAUGUCUGACUGUCAAAACAACGUCACUGUAUUCUCCAGCGUCGGCGUUCGACUGCCUCGACGUUGCAAUUAGAUGGCGACACCCGCGAGUGAGAGUCUCACUCGUGCACAUAGCAGCAGCUCGGCCACCUGCGGUCACCACAUUCAAUCCGAGGCAAUUUUCUAAAACGCCUCCAUAGCUGCAUCAAUCCGAGACAUUUUUCCUCAAAUGCCGCCAAAGCUGCAUCAAUCCGAGGCACUUUCCUAAAUCACCUCCAUAGCUACAUCAAUCAGAGGCAGUUUCCUACACCGCCUCCAUAGUGCAUCAAUCCGAGGCACUUCCCUAAAACGCCUCCAAAACUGAUCAAUCGGGGGCGUUUUCAAGGUGCCCUUAUAAAAAUGCCUUCAAUCAACGACCGUGGUGUAGUGUUGGUUGAAUCUGACUUAUAAUUUGCUAGUGGUGUCAGGAUAGUAUUUAAAAAGAACUUGUAAAAACAGGAUUGAUUUUUCAUAAUAAUGUCAUUUACCUUGCACUUACACACAAAGUUAGACAAGCUCUAGGAUAGUCAUUGGCAUUUGGAUAUGUAGCAUAGGUUUACCUGCUUAGUGACUUGGUGAAGUUGUAUACUUGGUUCAGGACCACCUUGCUGCAUUGCAAAGCAGCACAAGAACUAUCUGAAAGAAAUAAUCACCAGUUUAGUUAUUUCACUACUACAGACUACAGAACUACAAAAAUAACUGCUCACCCAAACAGCUUGUAACGAUCGGGAAUAUUUUGGGACUCUUCCCAAAUGGUUGUGCCAACAUAACUUUUGAAUAUUUUGUGUUACUAGUAACUAUGCGUGAUGUGCAGAUAAAAAAACUAUGUGUGAUGGGGCUUAAUGUGCGUUACUAGUUACUCUGCUCCUACCAUGGAGCAGAGCUUCUGAAGUUUGCACAACCGAACAACAGAACCUCUACAGAUUAACCCACUACUCCCUCCGUUCCUAAAUAGUUGUCUUUUUAGAGAUUUCAAAUGAUUACCAUAUACGGAUGUAUAUAGACAUAUUUUAGAGUGUAGAUUCACUCAUUUUGCUCCGUAUGUAGUCACUUGUUGACAUCUCUAGAAAGACAAAUAUUUAGGAACGGAGGGAGUAGAAAUUAAAUUACGCCAUGAGUUUGAGACCAAAGAAUUUGACUAAUAUCUAGACCAAGACCUGAGAGAGCACAACGCAAUGGUCAGGACCAAUACGUACCUGGGGCGCAGCUACCCUAGGCAGGAUGGGUGUACUUCCGUGCUUGCUCUGUUUAAUCCACCUGUAGGUUGAAGACGAAGUUGCUCGUUGCAGCAGAUGAUUCCUCCAACCUACCCGCCCAAUCGCCGCCGUCGGCCCUGACGCACAUGUCGGACGGUCUCUGUCCCCCCAAUCUCCACGGCCUCCAAUCGCCCGCCCGCCUGUCAAGCCUCCAUCAAUCCGCCCACUGUUCAUGUAUUGAGGCGAUGCACAUCAGAGGCCAGCGGAUUGGAGGGAUCCGAUUAGAUGGAUUAGAUGGAUUAGGAGGUUGGAGAAGAGAAGUGGAGAGAUGGCGGCAUGGGUGAGGAGAAGUGGAGAGAGGGCAGCGUGGCGGAGGAUAUA
Molecule: long non-coding RNA, 3066 nt
Filed under: Triticum aestivum (bread wheat)
Lineage: Eukaryota; Viridiplantae; Streptophyta; Magnoliopsida; Poales; Poaceae
Description: long non-coding RNA (TAES_LNC011129)
Source: RNAcentral